UACGGAGGGGGCUAGCGUUGUUCGGAAUUACUGGGCGUAAAGCGCACGUAGGCGGCUUUGUAAGUUAGAGGUGAAAGCCCGGGGCUCAACUCCGGAAUUGCCUUUAAGACUGCAUCGCUAGAAUUGUGGAGAGGUAAGUGGAAUUCCGAGUGUAGAGGUGAAAUUCGUAGAUAUUCGGAAGAACACCAGUGGCGAAGGCGACUUACUGGACACAUAUUGACGCUGAGGGUGGCGAAAAGCGGUUGGGG
This 248-nucleotide ribosomal RNA is filed under the name uncultured bacterium. RNAcentral describes it as "partial 16S ribosomal RNA". It matches the Rfam family "Bacterial small subunit ribosomal RNA", at positions 524 to 768 of the family's 1533-position model. The record is from RNAcentral.